Molecule: long non-coding RNA, 1249 nt
Organism: Daphnia carinata
Lineage: Eukaryota; Metazoa; Arthropoda; Branchiopoda; Diplostraca; Daphniidae
Exons: 6
Source: RefSeq, a predicted model, not a curated record
UGGAGAAAACUGCGUGGCUGGAGGAGCAAUUGAAAAAUGGAUAAGAUAAUAAAACAAAAAAGUGAUCAAAUAAUGAAGCUUCAGGCCCAGUUAUUGGAACAACACAAAAUAUUAGAUAACAACGAAGCUAAGGAUGCUCAAAUUUUUGAGUCUACAAGCUCAGCUAGGGGAAAAGAACAAAUUGGAACAAAACAGUUUCCAAACAGUGAAGGAGGUUUUUCAAAACUCAUCCCUAACUGAACGUGAGGAUGAGUUGGCAUUAGGUGAACACAGUCAGUUAUUCAGUCCACCACCUGACAGUGUGUUAAAUUUAAAUUCUGUUAGUGCUGCACUAAAAGAAUUGUUAGUAAUAAGUCCAUGCAGCGAAGGAACUGAAGAAUUGUGGUACUGUAUUUGGGCGGAAAAUGGGUGUGGUAUGGAAACACAGAAAUGGCAUGAGUUCAACCUAAAACAUGGAUUAGAAUUUUAGCGGGGGGAUCAAGUCAAGUCUGGAAGUGUUACAGGAUGGAAGAGUGAGCCUACAGAUGAAAAAACACUGAGAGUGCAUUACCGUUAAGGUGUGAGGUAAAUUAAUAGAGUAAUGCAAAUUGCCUAAUGAGAAGUACCAUCUUGUGUUAAUGAAUCCAGUACAACAGCAAUCCUUUAUAGUUCUGUCACAGCUAGAAGCCUCAAAUAAUUCUGCUUCUCUGUCUAAAGAACAACUUGUCCUUUACGUUCAGAGUGUUGGGGAAACUGGGUACUUAAAUGGCCCUAAAGAUGUUUUAAUUUUGCUGCUAUUGCAGAGAUGAACAUCAUACAUGGACUCUUUAGGUCUAAUCAACCAAAAAAAAUUUUAUCCAAUAGGCAAGGAUUUUCAUGUACUGGGAACACAACUAUCAACAAUGCAACGUUCUACAGGUGCUAGUUUAUCAUUCAAGAACCUUAUACAAUGAUGUUAAUCUGCAAUUUGUAUGUCCUUUCCCAAGCUUCCACCAGAAGUUGAAUCUAUGAGUCAUGUAAGUUACAUGAUCAACAAUUGAUUUGUUUAACGGUGUUGUUUUUCUUUUCUCAAUAUAGGUUAAUAGUAACAUUGGAUCUGAAAAGAUUCUUGGUUGGGGCAAGACACUGAAUAAAUUGUAUUGAUUGGAUGGAUGACAUGACAUUGCUAUACUUAAUUCGGAUUCCCCAGACGGUAUUUGAUAUUAAAAAAAUUGAAGUGCAUAUCUGGGCUCCCUUCUUUUCUGAAGCCCCGUUUCCCCUUGACUCAUAA